RNAcentral lists this ribosomal RNA (253 nucleotides) under uncultured bacterium. Its description in RNAcentral is "partial 16S ribosomal RNA". It matches the Rfam family "Bacterial small subunit ribosomal RNA", at positions 524 to 776 of the family's 1533-position model. The record is from RNAcentral.
UACAGAGGCCACGAGCGUUAGGCGGAAUCACUGGGCUUAAAGCGUGUGUAGGUGGAUGGCUAAGUACCUUGUGAAAUCCCACGGCUCAACCGUGGAACUGCUCGGUAUACUGGUCGUCUUGAGGCACUCAGGGGCGAGCGGAACAGAUGGUGGAGCGGUGAAAUGCGUAGAUAUCAGGAAGAACAUCGGUGGCGAAGGCGCUCUGCUGGACCAUAACUGACACUCAGGGACGAAAGCUAGGGGAGCGAAUGGG